This 973-nucleotide ribosomal RNA is filed under the name uncultured fungus. RNAcentral's name for it is "eukaryotic LSU rRNA". The stretch from base 596 to 973 matches the Rfam family "Eukaryotic large subunit ribosomal RNA", at positions 1 to 371 of the family's 3401-position model. The record is from RNAcentral. Lineage: Eukaryota; Fungi.
GGAAGGAUCAUUACCGAAUUGUCAACAUGAAGUUGUUGCUGGCCCUCAGAUGGGGGCAUGUGCACACUCUGUUUACACAUCCACUCACACCUGUGCACUCCUCUGUAGUACUGUGGUCUGGGGGUUCUGUCCUCCUACUGUGGUUCUGCGUAUUUAUACACACACACUGUAAUAAAGUCUCAUGGAAUGUAUGCCGCGUUUAACGCAAUGAAAUACAACUUUCAGCAACGGAUCUCUUGGCUCUCGCAUCGAUGAAGAACGCAGCGAAAUGCGAUAAGUAAUGUGAAUUGCAGAAUUCAGUGAAUCAUCGAAUCUUUGAACGCACCUUGCGCCCUUUGGCUAUUCCGAAGGGCAUGCCUGUUUGAGUAUCAUGAACACCUCAACUCUCAUGGCUUGCCAUGAUGAGCUUGGACUUGGGGGUUUUGCUGGCCCUACAGUCAGCUCCCCUCAAAUGCAUCAGCUUUCCAGUUUUUGGUGGCACCACAAGUGUGAUAAACAUCUACACGUGUGGUUCCCCACCAUGUAACCUUCAGUGAUGGAGGUUUGCUGGAGCUCACAAAUGUCUUUCCUCAGUGAAGACAGUUCUUUGAUUGUUUGAUCUCAAAUCAGGUAGGACUACCCGCUGAACUUAAGCAUAUCAAUAAGCGGAGGAAAAGAAACUAACAAGGAUUCCCCUAGUAACUGCGAGUGAAGCGGGAAGAGCUCAAAUUUAAAAUCUGACGUGCCUCUGGUCGUCCGAGUUGUAGUCUGGAGAAGUGUUUUCCGUGUUGGACCGUGUAUAAGUCUCUUGGAACAGGGCGUCAUAGAGGGUGAGAAUCCCGUCUUUGACACGGACUACCAAUGCUUUGUGAUGCACUCUCAAAGAGUCGAGUUGUUUGGGAAUGCAGCUCAAAAUGGGUGGUAAAUUCCAUCUAAAGCUAAAUAUAGGCGAGAGACCGAUAGCGAACAAGUACCGUGAGGGAAAGAUGAAAAG